AGGCAGCAGUGAGGAAUAUUGGUCAAUGGGCGUAAGCCUGAACCAGCCAAGUCGCGUGAGGGAUGAAGGUUCUAUGGAUCGUAAACCUCUUUUAUAAGGGAAUAAAGUGUGGGACGUGUCCUAUUUUGUAUGUACCUUAUGAAUAAGGAUCGGCUAACUCCGUGCCAGCAGCCGCGGUAAUACGGAGGAUCCGAGCGUUAUCCGGAUUUAUUGGGUUUAAAGGGUGCGUAGGCGGCCUUUUAAGUCAGCGGUGAAAGUCUGUGGCUCAACCAUAGAAUUGCCGUUGAAACUGGGGGGCUUGAGUAUGUUUGAGGCAGGCGGAAUGCGUGGUGUAGCGGUGAAAUGCUUAGAUAUCACGCAGAACCCCGAUUGCGAAGGCAGCCUGCCAAGCCAUGACUGACGCUGAUGCACGAAAGCGUGGGGAUCAAACAGGAUUAGAUACCCUGGUAGUCCACGCAGUAAAAGAUGAUCACUAGCUGUUUGCGAUACAGUGUAA
This 496-nucleotide ribosomal RNA is filed under the name uncultured bacterium. Its description in RNAcentral is "bacterial SSU rRNA". It matches the Rfam family "Bacterial small subunit ribosomal RNA", at positions 346 to 842 of the family's 1533-position model. The record is from RNAcentral.